RNAcentral lists this ribosomal RNA (1016 nucleotides) under uncultured bacterium. RNAcentral describes it as "bacterial SSU rRNA". It matches the Rfam family "Bacterial small subunit ribosomal RNA", at positions 357 to 1376 of the family's 1533-position model. The record is from RNAcentral.
AGGAAUAUUGGUCAAUGGACGAGAGUCUGAACCAGCCAAGUAGCGUGAAGGAUGACUGCCCUAUGGGUUGUAAACUUCUUUUAUACGGGAAUAAAGUGAGGCACGUGUGCCUUUUUGUAUGUACCGUAUGAAUAAGGAUCGGCUAACUCCGUGCCAGCAGCCGCGGUAAUACGGAGGAUCCGAGCGUUAUCCGGAUUUAUUGGGUUUAAAGGGAGCGUAGGCGGACGCUUAAGUCAGUUGUGAAAGUUUGCGGCUCAACCGUAAAAUUGCAGUUGAUACUGGGUGUCUUGAGUACAGUAGAGGCAGGCGGAAUUCGUGGUGUAGCGGUGAAAUGCUUAGAUAUCACGAAGAACUCCGAUUGCGAAGGCAGCUUGCUGGACUGUAACUGACGCUGAUGCUCGAAAGUGUGGGUAUCAAACAGGAUUAGAUACCCUGGUAGUCCACACGGUAAACGAUGGAUACUCGCUGUUGGCGAUAGACUGUCAGCGGCUUAGCGAAAGCGUUAAGUAUCCCACCUGGGGAGUACGCCGGCAACGGUGAAACUCAAAGGAAUUGACGGGGGCCCGCACAAGCGGAGGAACAUGUGGUUUAAUUCGAUGAUACGCGAGGAACCUUACCCGGGCUUGAAUUGCAGACGAAUUGCUUGGAAACAGGCAAGCCGCAAGGCGUCUGUGAAGGUGCUGCAUGGUUGUCGUCAGCUCGUGCCGUGAGGUGUCGGCUUAAGUGCCAUAACGAGCGCAACCCUCGUGUCCAGUUACUAGCAGGUUAUGCUGAGGACUCUGGACAGACUGCCAUCGUAAGAUGUGAGGAAGGUGGGGAUGACGUCAAAUCAGCACGGCCCUUACGUCCGGGGCUACACACGUGUUACAAUGGGGGGUACAGCAGGCAGCUACCGGGCGACCGGAUGCCAAUCCCGAAAGCCUCUCUCAGUUCGGACUGGAGUCUGCAACCCGACUCCACGAAGCUGGAUUCGCUAGUAAUCGCGCAUCAGCCACGGCGCGGUGAAUACGUUCCCG